GUGAAUCAUCGAAUCUUUGAACGCAAAUUGCACUCUCCGGUUUUCCGGGAGAGUAUGCCUGUUUGAGGGUCAGCCUAAAAAAAAUCGACAUUGUUGCUGUUUUUUAAUGGUGACUUUCGUCGGAGGUUGGGUUAUCUUUAACCUUUUUUUUUUUUGGUUUAAGCUACUUAAAAUUUUUCUUCACGAUUCCAUGAACGUAUCUAAGCUUUUUAGUAUUU
Molecule: unclassified non-coding RNA, 218 nt
Filed under: Glomeraceae sp.
Lineage: Eukaryota; Fungi; Glomeromycota; Glomeromycetes; Glomerales; Glomeraceae
Description: partial contains 5.8S ribosomal RNA and internal transcribed spacer 2
Rfam family: 5.8S ribosomal RNA (bases 1-72)
Source: RNAcentral